Molecule: ribosomal RNA, 297 nt
Filed under: Wolbachia pipientis
Lineage: Bacteria; Pseudomonadati; Pseudomonadota; Alphaproteobacteria; Rickettsiales; Anaplasmataceae
Description: partial 16S ribosomal RNA
Rfam family: Bacterial small subunit ribosomal RNA
Source: RNAcentral
UACGGAGAGGGCUAGCGUUAUUCGGAAUUAUUGGGCGUAAAGGGCGCGUAGGCUGGUUAAUAAGUUAAAAGUGAAAUCCCGAGGCUUAACCUUGGAAUUGCUUUUAAAACUAUUAAUCUAGAGAUUGAAAGAGGAUAGAGGAAUUCCUGAUGUAGAGGUAAAAUUCGUAAAUAUUAGGAGGAACACCAGUGGCGAAGGCGUCUAUCUGGUUCAAAUCUGACGCUGAAGCGCGAAGGCGUGGGGAGCAAACAGGAUUAGAUACCCUGGUAGUCCACGCUGUAAACGAUGAGUGCUAAA